UCCACCUUGGGAAACUUUUGCAUAGUGCCCUCCAGCCCUGCCACUGAAUCCAAAGGGCUCCGUGGAAGCUGUGUCAGUGGCCAUGAUUUGGUAUCCACAGGCUGUUGGGUGUUGAAUGUUCCCACUUCACUUGUACACUUGAAUUCUGUGCAACCCCUGCAGAGCAACUGGUAUGGGCCUCCCGUGUGACUCAGAAAGCAGUGACAGGCGAGGCUGGAUGACUCUGAGAUAGUUUUGUUUGAAAGACUUCUCACCCUUGAGUUUACCGGAUUCUGUGCUGCAUGAUCUCAUUGCUGCUAUCUCACCCUCUCUCCACCCUUCCCUCCCGUUGUUUGCUAUUGUAACUGAAGAUGAGACACAAAAAGUUAAACAAACUUCUUAAAAACAGGGAACGCAUCAUCCUGUGUGUUUAUGCAGCAUUAAACACAACAAGAUCUUUAUCUGAAGAUACUGGAGGCUGGACGCUUAUUGGAUAUAAAUGAGCAAAGUUCCCAUCAACUCCAUGAUUUACACCAAUGUAAUGUUUGGCGCCAGGCUGUAUAAAGACAAGCAAGAAAAAAAAAAAAAAAAAAGAAAAA
Long non-coding RNA from Lagopus muta (rock ptarmigan), 578 nucleotides. RefSeq lists it as uncharacterized. The record is from RefSeq and is a predicted model, not a curated record. Lineage: Eukaryota; Metazoa; Chordata; Aves; Galliformes; Phasianidae. The transcript has 2 exons.